GAUGAACGCUGGCGGCGUGCUUAACACGUGCAAGUCGAACGGCAAGGCCUCUGCUUGCAGGGGUACUCGAGUGGCGAACGGGUGAGUAACACGGGGGUGAUCUGCCCUGCACUUCGGGAUAAGCCUGGGAAACUGGGUUUAAUACCGGAUAGGACAAUGGUUUGGAUUCUGGUGUGGAAAGCUUUUCGGUUUGGGAUGAGCUCGUGUCCUAUCAGCGAGUUGGUGGGGUAAUGGCCUACCAAGGCGACGACGGGUAGCCGGCCGGAGAGGAUGUACGGCCACACGGGAACUGAGACAAGGUCCAGAUUCCUACGGGAGGCAGCAGUGGGGAAUAUUGGACAAUGUGCGCAAGCCUGAUCCAGCCAUACCGCGUGGGUGAAGAAGGCCUUCGGGUUGUAAAGCCCUUUUGGUGGGAAAGAAAAGCAGCAGGUGAAUACCCCGCUGUUCUGACGUUACCCAAAGAAUAAGCACCGGCUAACUUCGUG
This 485-nucleotide ribosomal RNA is filed under the name uncultured bacterium. RNAcentral's name for it is "partial 16S ribosomal RNA". It matches the Rfam family "Bacterial small subunit ribosomal RNA", at positions 28 to 507 of the family's 1533-position model. The record is from RNAcentral.